GGCCUAAUGGCGAAAUUAAUAUCGCGUCUGCAGUUCGUAGAACGCCACUAACCAAGUUGAGCGGGAGUCCCUGGUUCGACUCCAGGUUAGGUCA
Molecule: non-coding RNA, 94 nt
Organism: Mycena latifolia
Lineage: Eukaryota; Fungi; Basidiomycota; Agaricomycetes; Agaricales; Mycenaceae
Source: the annotation of a GenBank genome assembly